AGUUAACCGUCGUUGCUCGAGAAUUUAUAAGCAUUACUCAACCCCAUUUUUCUGCUAAGAGUUCAACAAUCCCACGUUACCUCCUCAAAACAAAUACAAACCGCACUCACUUCACCCUGCAAAAAAUUUCAUUUCACUGCACUCCAGCAUUUUUUAGCUAAAUGCCGCUUGGACCAUCUUCUUAACGCUUUUCCCACAUUAUUAUUCAAACAAAA
This 215-nucleotide unclassified non-coding RNA is filed under the name Hevea brasiliensis (rubber tree). Lineage: Eukaryota; Viridiplantae; Streptophyta; Magnoliopsida; Malpighiales; Euphorbiaceae. The record is from RNAcentral.